Molecule: ribosomal RNA, 472 nt
Filed under: uncultured bacterium
Lineage: Bacteria
Description: bacterial SSU rRNA
Rfam family: Bacterial small subunit ribosomal RNA
Source: RNAcentral
UGGGGAAUAUUGGACAAUGGGGGCAACCCUGAUCCAGCGAUGCCGCGUGUGUGAAGAAGGCCUGAGGGUUGUAAAGCACUUUAGUUGUUGAGGAAGGUUGUGUGGUGAAUACCCGCAUGACUUGACGGUAAACAAAGAAUAAGCUCCGGCUAACUUCGUGCCAGCAGCCGCGGUAAUACGAAGGGAGCUAGCGUUGUUCGGAAUCACUGGGCGUAAAGCGCACGUAGGUGGGCAGUUAAGUCAGGGGUGAAAGCCCGAGGCUCAACCUCGGAAUUGCCUCUGAUACUGGCUGUCUAGAGUUCGAGAGGGGUGAGUGGAAUUCCUAGUGUAGAGGUGAAAUUCGUAGAUAUUAGGAAGAACACCGGUGGCGAAGGCGGCCCACUGUCUCGGUACUGACACUGAGGUGCGAAAGCGUGGGGAGCAAACAGGAUUAGAUACCCCAGUAGUCCCUGAGCGGGCUGGCAAGGCGCAU